UUCUUCUUCACAUCUGCACUGAAAGAUCUUCUUGGAAAAGAGACUUAGCCCUGUAAACAUGAGAUUGAAGAGCACUCUAUGGAAUGCCGUCAUGGAGAAAGCUGCAUCCUUAAUGUUUAUCCUCGAGAAAGAAACUCUGACAGCAGAUAUCCUUCAGACUGUAGAAGGGAUUGCUGCGAUUCUGCGACUAUCUGCUUUGUGCAUAGUUCAUUGUUCUCCCCCAAGAAGUUCUACCAGUAUGGAUCAUAAAGUAACUCAUCCGUGUAACUCUGACAAAUGUAAGAGUACUCCGAGCUCCUCAGAUUCAGUGGUGAAUAUUCAGUUCACAUGGAUUUCCUCUGAUUUUAUCACAAGAGUAGUGAGAGUCUGCAGAAAUCUGUUAGAGGCUGCUAUGCAGAUUGCUAACCUAGAGCAAGUGAUUGACA
RNAcentral lists this long non-coding RNA (425 nucleotides) under Amazona collaria (yellow-billed parrot). RNAcentral describes it as "lncRNA (ENSACOG00000016138.1)". The record is from RNAcentral. Lineage: Eukaryota; Metazoa; Chordata; Aves; Psittaciformes; Psittacidae.